RNAcentral lists this transfer RNA (77 nucleotides) under Acholeplasma sp. RNAcentral describes it as "tRNA-Lys". It matches the Rfam family "tRNA". From Rfam's summary of the family: Transfer RNA (tRNA) molecules are approximately 80 nucleotides in length. Lineage: Bacteria; Bacillati; Mycoplasmatota; Mollicutes; Acholeplasmatales; Acholeplasmataceae. The record is from RNAcentral.
GCACCUUUAGCUCAGUUGGCCAGAGCAAUUGACUCUUAAUCAAUGGGUCGUGGGUUCGAGUCCCACAAGGUGUACCA